AACGAACGCUGGCGGCAGGCCUAACACAUGCAAGUCGAACGAGACCUUCGGGUCUAGUGGCGCAUGGGUGCGUAACGCGUGGGAACCUGCCCUUAGGUUCGGAAGAACUCCCCGAAAGGGGUGCGAAUACCGGAUAAUGUCUUCGGACCAAAGGUUUAUCGCCCUUGGAUGGGCCCGCGUUGGCUUAGCUAGUUGGUAGGGUAAAAGGCUCCCAAGGCGAGGAGACAUAGCGGGUCUGAGAGGCUGAUCAGCGACACUGGGAGUGAGGAACGGCCCAGAAUCUUACGGGAGGCAGCAGUGCGUAAUCUUGGCCAAUGGGCGAAAGCCUGAUCCACCUCUGACGCGUGAGUGAUGAAGGCCUUAGGGUUGUAAAGCUAUUUUAUCCGGGAUGAUAAUGACGGUACCGGCAGAAUAAGCUCCGGCUAACUCCGUG
Molecule: ribosomal RNA, 433 nt
Filed under: uncultured bacterium
Lineage: Bacteria
Description: partial 16S ribosomal RNA
Rfam family: Bacterial small subunit ribosomal RNA
Source: RNAcentral